This 549-nucleotide ribosomal RNA is filed under the name uncultured bacterium. RNAcentral describes it as "bacterial SSU rRNA". It matches the Rfam family "Bacterial small subunit ribosomal RNA", at positions 355 to 895 of the family's 1533-position model. The record is from RNAcentral.
UAGGGAAUCUUCGGCAAUGGACGGAAGUCUGACCGAGCAACGCCGCGUGAGUGAAGAAGGUUUUCGGAUCGUAAAGCUCUGUUGUAAGAGAAGAACGAGUGUGAGAGUGGAAAGUUCACACUGUGACGGUAUCUUACCAGAAAGGGACGGCUAACUACGUGCCAGCAGCCGCGGUAAUACGUAGGUCCCGAGCGUUGUCCGGAUUUAUUGGGCGUAAAGCGAGCGCAGGCGGUUAGAUAAGUCUGAAGUUAAAGGCUGUGGCUUAACCAUAGUAGGCUUUGGAAACUGUUUAACUUGAGUGCAAGAGGGGAGAGUGGAAUUCCAUGUGUAGCGGUGAAAUGCGUAGAUAUAUGGAGGAACACCGGCGGCGAAAGCGGCUCUCUGGCUUGUAACUGACGCUGAGGCUCGAAAGCGUGGGGAGCAAACAGGAUUAGAUACCCUGGUAGUCCACGCUGUAAACGAUGAGUGCUAGGUGUUAGACCCUUUCCGGGGUUUAGUGCCGUAGCUAACGCAUUAAGCACUCCGCCUGGGGAGUACGACCGCAAGGUU